This 2224-nucleotide ribosomal RNA is filed under the name Apilactobacillus apinorum. Its description in RNAcentral is "bacterial LSU rRNA". It matches the Rfam family "Bacterial large subunit ribosomal RNA", at positions 693 to 2925 of the family's 2925-position model. Lineage: Bacteria; Bacillati; Bacillota; Bacilli; Lactobacillales; Lactobacillaceae. The record is from RNAcentral.
GUUACAGUAUGUUGGGAUAGACCCGAAACCAGGUGAUCUACCCAUGUUCAGGCUGAAAGUGCGGUAAAACGCACCGGAGGGCCGAACCCGUGUACGUUGAAAAGUGCUGGGAUGAAAUGUGGGUAGCGGUGAAAUUCCAAACGAACUUGGAGAUAGCUGGUUCUCUCCGAAAUAGCUUUAGGGCUAGCCUCGGACUUAGAAUCAUGGAGGUAGAGCACUGUUUGGGUGAGGGGCCCGUCAUGGGUUACUAAAUUCAGAUAAACUCCGAAUACCAUCGAUUUAUAUGUCCGGGAGUCAGACGAUGAGUGAUAAGAUCCACCGUCGAAAGGGGAACAGCCCAGACCACCAAUUAAGGUCCCUAAAUAUAUGCUGAGUGGAAAAGGAUGUGGAGUUGCAUAGACAACUAGGAUGUUGGCUCAGAAGCAGCCACCAUUUAAAGAGUGCGUAAUAGCUCACUAGUCGAGUGAUUCUGCGCCGAAAAUUUACCGGGGCUAAGCAUAUUACCGAGAUUGUGGACAUGACGUAGUCAUGUGAUAGGAGAGCGUUCUAAGGGCAACGAAGGUAGACCGUAAGGACUGCUGGAGCGCUUAGAAGUGAGAAUGCCGGUAUGAGUAGCGAAAGAAUAGUGAGAAUCUAUUCCACCGAUUGACUAAGGUUUCCUGGGGAAGGCUCGUCCUCCCAGGGUAAGUCGGGACCUAAGCCGAGGCCUAGAGGCGUAGGCGAUGGAUAACAGGUUGAGAUUCCUGUACUAGUUAAUUAUGUUUGAGCGAUGGAGGGACGUAGAAGGCUAACCUGAGCGCACUGCUGGAUAUGUGCGUUCAAGCAGUAAGUCAGGUUAUGAGUGAAAUGCUUGUAACCGGGUUGACAAGCUGUGAUGAGGACCGAAAUAAAGUAGGGAAGCAGGCCAUGUCACGCUACCGAGAAAAGCUUCUAGUGAGUAAUUAACUACCCGUACCGCAAACCGACACAGGUAGUCAAGGAGAGUAUCCUAAGGUGAGCGAGUGAACUCUCGUUAAGGAACUCGGCAAAAUGACCCCGUAACUUCGGGAGAAGGGGUGCUGCACGCAAGUGCAGCCGCAGUGAAAAGGCUCAGGCGACUGUUUAUCAAAAACACAGGUUUCUGCAAAAUCGUAAGAUGAAGUAUAGGGGCUGACGCCUGCCCGGUGCUGGAAGGUUAAGUGGAUGAGUUAGCUUCGGCGAAGCCCAGAAACGAAGCCCCAGUAAACGGCGGCCGUAACUAUAACGGUCCUAAGGUAGCGAAAUUCCUUGUCGGGUAAGUUCCGACCCGCACGAAAGGCGUAACGAUCUGAGCACUGUCUCAACGAGAGACUCGGUGAAAUUGAGAUACCUGUGAAGAAGCAGGUUACCCGCGACAGGACGGAAAGACCCCAUGGAGCUUUACUGUAAUUUGAUAUUGGGUGUUGACAUAGCUUGUACAGGAUAGGUAGGAGCCGUGGAAACCGGAACGCUAGUUUCGGUGGAGGCAUUGUUGGGAUACUACCCUCGCUGUGCUAACACUCUAACCCGCACCACUAAUCGUGGUGGGAGACAGUGUCUGAUUGGCAGUUUGACUGGGGCGGUCGCCUCCUAAACAGUAACGGAGGCGCCCAAAGGUUCCCUCAGAAUGGUUGGAAAUCAUUCUUCGAGUGUAAAGGCAAAAGGGAGCUUGACUGCGAGACAGACAGGUCGAGCAGGGACGAAAGUCGGGCUUAGUGAUCCGGUGGUACCGUAUGGAAGGGCCAUCGCUCAACGGAUAAAAGCUACCCUGGGGAUAACAGGCUUAUCUCCCCCAAGAGUUCACAUCGACGGGGAGGUUUGGCACCUCGAUGUCGGCUCAUCGCAUCCUGGGGCUGUAGUUGGUCCCAAGGGUUGGGCUGUUCGCCCAUUAAAGCGGUACGCGAGCUGGGUUCAGAACGUCGUGAGACAGUUCGGUCCCUAUCCGUCGCGGGCGUAGGAAAUUUGAGGGGAGCUGUCUCUAGUACGAGAGGACCGAGAUGGACAUACCGCUGGUGUACCAGUUGUCCCGCCAGGGGCAUCGCUGGGUAGCUAUGUAUGGAUGAGAUAAACGCUGAAAGCAUCUAAGUGUGAAACCGACCUCAAGAUGAAAUUUCCCAUUCCUUUAUGGAAGUAAGACCCCUAAGAGAUGAUUAGGUAGAUAGGCUAGAAGUGGAAGUGCAGUGAUGUAUGGAGCGGACUAGUACUAAUUGGUCGAGGACUUAACCAA